RNAcentral lists this ribosomal RNA (522 nucleotides) under Triticum aestivum (bread wheat). RNAcentral's name for it is "partial small subunit ribosomal RNA". The record is from RNAcentral. Lineage: Eukaryota; Viridiplantae; Streptophyta; Magnoliopsida; Poales; Poaceae.
AUGCAGCCGGGCCGCCACUCGGUACAGAAGCCGCGAGUUUGGUUGCCACCAACAGGAGAAGAAGCAGCAAAAAUAAACUGUGACGGAGCCAUCUCUACUCUUGGGAAGAAAGGAGCAGCAACUGUAGUGUGCCGGGACAGAUCAGGUAAAUUUCUAGGGGCAUCAGCGGUGGUUUUUGACGGCUUGAUCAACCCGCCAAGUUUAGAGGCGCAAGCGUGCAGCGAGGCCCUGGCCCUUGCACGAGACUUGAAUCUGCAGAACAUGGAGAUUGCCUCAGAUUGUUUAGAGGUGAUUACCAACAUCAACAGAGAAGGCUCGCCAGUUUAUGCGCCAAUAUUGCAUGAAAUCAAUCUUUCCAAGAACUUUUUUACUUCUGUUUUUUUUCGUUUCGAAAGUAGGCAGAAUAAUUUUGAGGCCCACUCGGUAGCAAAAGGAGUUGCGUCUCUGCCGGUGGGCCGCCAUGUAUGGCUAGGGGUUAUACCAAACAUUGCUUGUAUUCCAGACUUGAUGAUCCUUGAAUAA